GAUGAACGCUAGCGGCAGGCCUAACACAUGCAAGUCGAGGGAGGAGCCUUCGGGCUUCGACCGGCGUACGGGUGCGUAACGCGUAUACAAUCUGCCUUUCACAUAGGGAUAGCCCGAAGAAAUUUGGAUUAAUACCUAAUGGUAUAUAGAUGUGGCAUCACCUUUAUAUUAAAGCUGAGGCGGUGAAAGAUGAGUAUGCGUUCUAUUAGCUAGUUGGAGAGGUAACGGCUCCCCAAGGCGACGAUAGAUAGGGGUUCUGAGAGGGAUAUCCCCCACACUGGGACUGAGAUACGGACCAGACUCCUACGGGAGGCAGCAGUGAGGAAUAUUGGACAAUGGUCGGAAGACUGAUCCAGCCAUGCCGCGUGCAGGAAGACGGCCUUAUGGGUUGUAAACUGCUUUUGCAGGGGAAGAAUAAGGACUACGCGUAGUUUGAUGACGGUACUCUGCGAAUAAGCAUCGGCUAACUCCGUG
RNAcentral lists this ribosomal RNA (474 nucleotides) under uncultured bacterium. Its description in RNAcentral is "partial 16S ribosomal RNA". It matches the Rfam family "Bacterial small subunit ribosomal RNA", at positions 28 to 507 of the family's 1533-position model. The record is from RNAcentral.